GACGAACGCUAGCGGCGCGCCUAACACAUGCAAGUCGAACGAGAGAUGAAGAGCUUGCUCUUCAAAUCGAGUGGCGAACGGGUGAGUAACGCGUGAGGAACCUGCCUCAAAGAGGGGGACAACAGUUGGAAACGACUGCUAAUACCGCAUAAGCCCACGGCUCGGCAUCGAGCAGAGGGAAAAGGAGUGAUCCGCUUUGAGAUGGCCUCGCGUCCGAUUAGCUAGUUGGUGAGGUAACGGCCCACCAAGGCGACGAUCGGUAGCCGGACUGAGAGGUUGAACGGCCACAUUGGGACUGAGACACGGCCCAGACUCCUACGGGAGGCAGCAGUGGGGAAUAUUGCACAAUGGGGGAAACCCUGAUGCAGCGACGCCGCGUGGAGGAAGAAGGUCUUCGGAUUGUAAACUCCUGUUGUUGAGGAAGAUAAUGACGGUACUC
RNAcentral lists this ribosomal RNA (439 nucleotides) under uncultured bacterium. RNAcentral describes it as "bacterial SSU rRNA". It matches the Rfam family "Bacterial small subunit ribosomal RNA", at positions 28 to 480 of the family's 1533-position model. The record is from RNAcentral.